AGUGAACGCUGGCGGUAGGCCUAACACAUGCAAGUCGAACGGCAGCACAGUAAGAGCUUGCUCUUACGGGUGGCGAGUGGCGGACGGGUGAGGAAUACAUCGGAAUCUACUUUUUCGUGGGGGAUAACGUAGGGAAACUUACGCUAAUACCGCAUACGACCUACGGGUGAAAGCAGGGGAUCUUCGGACCUUGCGCGUUUGAAUGAGCCGAUGUCGGAUUAGCUAGUUGGCGGGGUAAAGGCCCACCAAGGCGACGAUCCGUAGCUGGUCUGAGAGGAUGAUCAGACACACUGGAACUGAGACACGGUCCAGACUCCUACGGGAGGCAGCAGUGGGGAAUAUUGGACAAUGGGCGCAAGCCUGAUCCAGCAAUACCGCGUGGGUGAAGAAGGCCUUCGGGUUGUAAAGCCCUUUUGUUGGGAAAGAAAAGCAGCAGGUUAAUACCCCGCUGUUCUGACGGUACCCAAAGAAUAAGCACCGGCUAACUUCGUG
RNAcentral lists this ribosomal RNA (492 nucleotides) under uncultured bacterium. Its description in RNAcentral is "partial 16S ribosomal RNA". It matches the Rfam family "Bacterial small subunit ribosomal RNA", at positions 29 to 507 of the family's 1533-position model. The record is from RNAcentral.